RNAcentral lists this ribosomal RNA (478 nucleotides) under uncultured bacterium. RNAcentral's name for it is "partial 16S ribosomal RNA". It matches the Rfam family "Bacterial small subunit ribosomal RNA", at positions 28 to 523 of the family's 1533-position model. The record is from RNAcentral.
GACGAACGCUGGCGGCGUGCUUAACACAUGCAAGUCGAGCGAUGAAGUUCCUUCGGGAAUGGAUUAGCGGCGGACGGGUGAGUAACACGUGGGUAACCUGCCUCAUAGAGGGGAAUAGCCUUCCGGAAGGAAGAUUAAUACCGCAUAAGAUUGUAGUAUCGCAUGAUACAGCAAUUAAAGGAGUAAUCCGCUAUGAGAUGGACCCGCGUCGCACUAGCUAGUUGGUGAGGUAACGGCUCACCAAGGCGACGAUGCGUAGCCGACCUGAGAGGGUGAUCGGCCACAUUGGGACUGAGACACGGCCCAGACUGCUACGGGAGGCAGCAGUGGGGAAUAUUGCACAAUGGGGGAAACCCUGAUGCAGCAACGCCGCGUGAGUGAUGACGGUCUUCGGAUUGUAAAACUCUGUCUUCAGGGACGAUAAUGACGGUACCUGAGGAGGAAGCCACGGCUAACUACGUGCCAGCCGCCGCGGUAA